GCUAGUAAUCGUAGAUCAGAAUGCUACGGUGAAUACGUUCCCGGGCCUUGUACACACCGCCCGUCACACCAUGGGAGUGGGUUGCAAAAGAAGUAGGUAGCUUAACCUUCGGGAGGGCGCUUACCACUUUGUGAUUCAUGACUGGGGUGAAGUCGUAACAAGGUAACCGUAGGGGAACCUGCGGUUGGAUCACCUCCUUA
This 200-nucleotide ribosomal RNA is filed under the name Klebsiella pneumoniae. Its description in RNAcentral is "partial 16S ribosomal RNA". It matches the Rfam family "Bacterial small subunit ribosomal RNA", at positions 1334 to 1533 of the family's 1533-position model. The record is from RNAcentral. Lineage: Bacteria; Pseudomonadati; Pseudomonadota; Gammaproteobacteria; Enterobacterales; Enterobacteriaceae. RNAcentral also lists the same sequence under 3 other names.